This 571-nucleotide ribosomal RNA is filed under the name uncultured Alternaria. RNAcentral describes it as "eukaryotic LSU rRNA". The stretch from base 196 to 349 matches the Rfam family "5.8S ribosomal RNA". Lineage: Eukaryota; Fungi; Ascomycota; Dothideomycetes; Pleosporales; Pleosporaceae. The record is from RNAcentral.
UCCGUAGGUGAACCUGCGGAGGGAUCAUUACACAAAUAUGAAGGCGGGCUGGAACCUCUCGGGGUUACAGCCUUGCUGAAUUAUUCACCCUUGUCUUUUGCGUACUUCUUGUUCCCUUGGUGGGUUCGCCCACCACUAGGACAAACAUAAACCUUUUGUAAUUGCAAUCAGCGUCAGUAACAAAUUAAUAAUUACAACUUUCAACAACGGAUCUCUUGGUUCUGGCAUCGAUGAAGAACGCAGCGAAAUGCGAUAAGUAGUGUGAAUUGCAGAAUUCAGUGAAUCAUCGAAUCUUUGAACGCACAUUGCGCCCUUUGGUAUUCCAAAGGGCAUGCCUGUUCGAGCGUCAUUUGUACCCUCAAGCUUUGCUUGGUGUUGGGCGUCUUGUCUCUAGCUUUGCUGGAGACUCGCCUUAAAGUAAUUGGCAGCCGGCCUACUGGUUUCGGAGCGCAGCACAAGUCNCNCUCUCUAUCAGCAAAGGUCUAGCAUCCAUUAAGCCUUUUUUUUCAACUUUUGACCUCGGAUCAGGUAGGGAUACCCGCUGAACUUAAGCAUAUCAAUAAGCGGAGGA